Molecule: ribosomal RNA, 301 nt
Filed under: uncultured bacterium
Lineage: Bacteria
Description: partial 16S ribosomal RNA
Rfam family: Bacterial small subunit ribosomal RNA
Source: RNAcentral
CAGUCGCCGCGGUAAUACGGAGGGUGCAAGCGUUAAUCGGAUUUACUGGGCGUAAAGCGUGCGUAGGCGGCUUCUUAAGUCGGAUGUGAAAUCCCUGAGCUUAACUUAGGAAUUGCAUUCGAUACUGGGAAGCUAGAGUAUGGGAGAGGAUGGUAGAAUUCCAGGUGUAGCGGUGAAAUGCGUAGAGAUCUGGAGGAAUACCGAUGGCGAAGGCAGCCAUCUGGCCUAAUACUGACGCUGAGGUACGAAAGCAUGGGGAGCAAACAGGAUUAGAUACCCCUGUAGUCCCUGUCUCUUAUAC